UUCGGCCUAUUCGGUCGUCGGGUCCCAUUGCUAGAUGGUUACUUCGAUUAGUGCAGGAAGUGUUCUUGUACUACCGGCUUAGGUUCGAACCUGUGAGGUCAUACGCUUAGAAGUUUCAGGAUUGAUCAAAUGGCUGAUUGACGAUUGAGAAUCGUCUAGAGGUAAAAUAGUCAAUGUGAUUGACUGAUUGUCCUAAGCAAUUGUUGCUUGGAGAAGUUAAUUGGUGAUUAGAUCACUGAUUAGACUCAAUUUGAUUGAGUAAUAGAGAUUGGGCUUGACCAAAUUCAAAUAUGAUUUGAAAUUGGUAAAACCGUAAUUGACACCAAAAUUGGUUUGGUGAAAAUGUCUAAUUUGCUCAACCAAAUCAGAUUUGGCUUGAGUCAAAUUGGAUUAAAAUCAAUUAUGAUCCUAGUAUGACUAGGAUUUUCUUCCCUAUGUGGGACCCACAUACACUUCCUUCCCUAUGUGGGACCCACAUACUGUAUGUGGGACCCACGUCCUGCCUAGGUGGGACCCACAUACUGUAUGUGGGACCCAUGUCCUGCUUAGGUGGGACCCACAUACUAUAUGUGGGACCCACAUCCCGGCCACAUCACCCCUUUGCAUGCGUGACACGUGGCGGAGCAGGAUACCUCUUUUGCUUGCAUGUGUGACAUGUGGCGGGCCUGGACACCUCACACUCUUCCUGAUGUCAUCCAUGACCUCAUCUGCCUCAUGAGGUCAUCCAUGACAUCGCCCUCCAGGCCACCUCACCCCUUUGCAUGCGUGACACGUGGCGGAGCAGGACAUCUCUCUUUCUUGCAUGUGUGACAUGUGUCCUGGCAGGACACCUCACAGGACACCUCAUAGGGACACCUCACCUUCUUCUUGGCCUAUAAAUAAGCCACCCCUCUUCCUUCUUCUUAACACAUGAAGAGCACCAGAGAAAGAGAGUGAGAGGAGAGAGUAGUUCUGAAGGUGAAAGCCCNNNNNNNNNNNNNNNNNNNNNNNNNNNNNNNNNNNNNNNNNNNNNNNNNNNNNNNNNNNNNNNNNNNNNNNNNNNCCAGCACUCCCCGGGAGCUGAUCAUUCCAGAGCUUCGCGUGGACGAGUCAUCGAGGCCGGACGCUUGUGCGACUGCGAAGCAUCCUUGAAGGAACCCCCUUCUAAAGGUAAGAGACCUGAUCUCUUUUACGGUUGAGAUAUGAUCUCAAUCUUCAAAACACAAGAAGUUGUGAUUUAUGCAUAUUUAUUCGAAUCACACAAUCCUCGGGAUCUGAGGGCUUUGUGAUAUUUGGUGUCAAAGCAAAGGAUUAGUGGAGACUAUCCGAUUCUCGGGAACUCUCACGCGUGAUCGUGUGACGAAGCGUGGCUCUCCACCCGGGGGCUCAUAUGAUGAGUGCUUUGAUAGGCACGUACGGGUGUCACCCUAUGUAUUGGGACUGAGCCCGUGCCACAUGUGAUGUACAGUUGAAGAUUGUCUUCGACUGGUACCAGAGUUAAAAUAUCUAAAAUAUCAAGCAUGUUAUGGGUUAAAAUGUUUAACCCGUUCUUUCCGCAUAAAAAUUUUCUGAAAUUCAUGCUUAGCCCUCUGCACGCAUACUAUCAGUG
This 1588-nucleotide long non-coding RNA is filed under the name Phoenix dactylifera (date palm). RNAcentral describes it as "long non-coding RNA (PDAC_LNC007947)". Lineage: Eukaryota; Viridiplantae; Streptophyta; Magnoliopsida; Arecales; Arecaceae. The record is from RNAcentral.